This 2266-nucleotide long non-coding RNA is filed under the name Panax ginseng (ginseng). RNAcentral's name for it is "long non-coding RNA (PGIN_LNC016468)". The record is from RNAcentral. Lineage: Eukaryota; Viridiplantae; Streptophyta; Magnoliopsida; Apiales; Araliaceae.
UUAUUAUUCACGUAUAUGGCAUUAUUCACCGAAAAACUAAAUUUUCUUCUUUUUGUCCAAGUUGUCUAUUAUGGUUACUUUCUUUGAUUGUAUCCAUGUUUUGAUCUUUAUUUUUGAAUUCUGUUUCAAAAUUGGUUAUUAUGGAGUAUUAUUGAACUUGGAUAAACUGUAAUACGAAUCCCUAAUAUUUGUCCUUUUGUUUCACUGGAUUCGUUUUCUUUAAGAUAUUUUUCAUCAUCUUCAGUCCUAAAUGAUGAUAUUACUGAAUAUCUUUGGCCUAUAGUGCAAAGAUGAAUGAUUACCUAAUGAAUAUCUUUGGCCCGUAGUGCAAAGAUGAACAGGUGUUGAGAUGAACAUGACCAACUGGUGAUACAAAUGAAUAUCUUUGGCCUGUAGUGCAAAGAUGAAUANNNNNNNNNNNNNNNNNNNNNNNNNNNNNNNNNNNNNNNNNNNNNNNNNNNNNNNNNNNNNNNNNNNNNNNNNNNNNNNNNNNNNNNNNNNNNNNNNNNNCUAAAAAAUCGUACGCAUAUAUAGUAUAUAUAGUUCAAUGAAAAGUGAGCUUAAUUUUUGUGUUACGUUUGUAGCUUCUAAACUUUUAUUCGUAUUCGAGUAUCCAAAUUUAUCAUAAAAUGAGUAGAAUAGUAUGAAUGCUUUCAACAUAUAUAAAAUCUCAUGCCAUAAUAAUUUAAUGAAAUAAUGAGAUUUCCUCUAGUUUAUGAAAAAAGAGUGAGAGGUUGUACACAUGUGCUAAUUAACAAUUAAUAUAAGCUAUAAGAUAUAUGAGAAGUAUACAAAAGUCUAUUAAAAUUUGUCACUUAUUUCAUAGUCUAUAAAAGUCAUUUUUAAAAAGUCUUUAAAAGUCAUUAAAAUUUACAAACUCUAUAAAAGUCUGUCACUUAAAAAAAGUCAUUAAAAAUCUUAAUUAAAUACACCUCCUUAAUUUGCAGUAUUGACAAAGGCUAAAUACAUUUUCGUUAUAAUCAAAACCUGUUUGAGGGAGUUUUAAUUUUGAAGAGGAGCUCUUUUUAUGGGAAGUGAGAGAGUAUACAAUUUUCUAUUCUUAUUAAACCCCACCAUUAUUUAAUCUAUCAUCCUCUUUCUUGUCCACUUCAACCUGAUUCGUUCCCAAUAAUUCCCCAACAGAUCUCCUACCAUCGUCAUCCGAUUAUACUGGCACAUCCUUCACAUCACUGUCACUUUCUCUCUCUGUAUACUGAUGCUCUUCCUCUAAAUCUACAUGCCCCCGCUGCCAUGGUUUUCAGUGACAAAGAACUGCUAUGGAGAAUACUCAGUGAAGGGGCCUUUGUGAGAAAAGGAUAGAAAGCUUUGACUGUGUCCAUGGCGCACAACCUUAACAUAACUGCACCAGUGAUGGAGAGUUUGAAUGUUGCAGUCUUUGAAUUAAAGAAACGAAAACAAGUGGAGAGAGAAAGAAAAUCAAUAUUAAUCCUCUAAAUUAAGGAAUCCUAAUUGCACUAAUAUUAUAAAUAAUUAUGGAAAAGUGUAUUACUUUUGUAAUUAUUUUAUGGAUGCACUAUUAUUGUAAUUAUUUCUAAAAAUGUACUAAAAUAUGUAAUUAACCCAUAAAAGUAGUUAACCAACCCAUUUGAUUCCAGUUAAUAUGGACUGAGUAAUAAAGUUGAGAUUAAAUUAGCUUAAGCUUUCGUAAAUAAAAAUAAGCAACUUGGACCUUACUUUGCUCCUACUUUUUUGGAUUUCACUCCUUUCAUUCCAUUGGCUCAUAAUUAAUGUCAUACAUGCCCAAGUUUACAUAAUAAUUAGUGAACCGCUUUUUAUAACUAAAUAAUUUAAUUAAUUAGCAUAUUAAAUAAAUUACCCAAACAAAAAAUAGACAUCACAUUAAAGGAAAUAGAUAGUUUACUUUCCCAAAACAAAAAAUAGACAUGAUUAGGGAAAAAGAUGGUUGUUGAAUUGGGAGGCCCAUCAGGUUUAUUUGAUGGGAGUAGCUGAUUACCGGCCUGUAAUCCUUCCACCGAAAGGAGAGGGAAGUGGUCGCUGCUCUGUGAAACCAGCCUAGCGCAGUACCCUCCACUAUAGUGACCGAGAGCUCUGAGCCUUCGCUCAGAACCCAUGGUUAAACUCCUCACUUGAAUGGGCAGGCCAUGCAUUAAACCAAACUAGCCCAACCAUCUGGACCAAACCAACCCUUCAACCAUCCUAUAGCCCUCACUUGAGUUACAGGCUCAAGUUACUAAGCCCGGCUGCUCGCUAUUGAGACAAUAUUAAUUUAUAAAGUAAAGGCUUA